RNAcentral lists this long non-coding RNA (314 nucleotides) under Serinus canaria (Common canary). Its description in RNAcentral is "lncRNA (ENSSCAG00000002390.1)". The record is from RNAcentral. Lineage: Eukaryota; Metazoa; Chordata; Aves; Passeriformes; Fringillidae.
GUGGAACUGAAUUCUUCCUUGCUUGAGCAUUUUCCAAAUUUUCCCAAUUUACUUUUGCAGGAAGAAACUCUUUGGGGGGCUGUCACUGAGAGAGGAUUUCAAAUGAGCAGCCUGUGACACCUCCCCAUGAGGAGCCCAGGCUGGCUGUGCUGGACGCUUCCCCAUGUGAGCAUCCCCAGGCUCCAAUGCCUCAGCAGAUCCCCAUGUCGGAGCAGCCCUGGACCUGCAGAACAGCACAUGGCAGAACGGCAGUGAGCCCCUAGACCAUGCCCCACACAAUGACAUGGUGGCUCCCGCUGCUGGCCCUGCGCGUG